This is a long non-coding RNA of Apis dorsata (giant honeybee), 613 nucleotides long. RefSeq lists it as uncharacterized. The transcript has 5 exons. NCBI's taxonomy places the organism in Eukaryota, Metazoa, Arthropoda, Insecta, Hymenoptera, Apidae. The record is from RefSeq and is a predicted model, not a curated record.
UAUUAUUAUAACUUUAUUUACAAUUAUUGGAAUUAUGUACCUCAUUUAUAUUAUGUGUAUUUAUAAAGAUAUUAAAAAAAAUAAAAUGGGAAGAUAUUAAUAUAAACAGAGAUAUUGUAUUGCUCUAUACUAAAGGUCCUGAAUCAUUUAUGGCAUUAAUGACAGAUUUUCGACAGACACUUAGUCAAGUUUGUCAAUGUAUUGUAUAUGAUUGGCAUAAUGGAAUAGAAUGGAAUAAUGUAGCUAAGAUUGGUGUUUUUGAUUGGUUUGCAAAAAUGCUUCAUAAUGAAUGCCAUAUUGUUUGGCAUAGAUAUUCUAAUAUUACGUUCGUUAAUUACACAAAGCCUUAACAAAAAUAAUAAUUCAGAACAAUAUAAUUUAAUAAAAAUUGGUGAUUUCCGUAACGCAAUACUUCCCACAAUUUUUAAUUUAUCUAAACGUAAUAUUGAACAAUAAAUCCAAACAUUUUAUUGUAAGAUUAAAAGAAUUUGAAAAUUUUGAAAAUGAUAAUGAUCCAUUUGCUGAUGUCUUCACAUAUACGAUAUGUUUUACCACAAGAUUAAACUUACUGUGUUCCAAUUUAUCAAAAAUGGAUAGAUAGUUAUUUAAAUAU